This 680-nucleotide unclassified non-coding RNA is filed under the name Hevea brasiliensis (rubber tree). Lineage: Eukaryota; Viridiplantae; Streptophyta; Magnoliopsida; Malpighiales; Euphorbiaceae. The record is from RNAcentral.
GGCAUAUUUGAUUUCAUAACAGAAGCUUUUGGUUUCUCUAAGAGCCAGGUGAAUGCACACGGGCUUGGAGAAAAAUUUUGAUAAUUAAGUGAACAUCAAACAUAUUCAGAAGAUUGGAAUGGUAAGCAUGCUUAUCUAUAUAUGAUAAUUUGCAUCCACCUGGGUGGGCCUUUCUUAUUAAAAUCUAGAGCAAGAAGGGCAUUUGAUUCAGGAAUACCUAUACAUUUUAAAGUGGAGACUAUUGUCUCUAGGGAUGAUUGAUGCUGGCCUGCUGUGAGUUACAAUGAUUUAGCUUCAAGGCACUAUUUUUGGGAUUAUCUAUGCUCAUAAUUCAUUAGACACUUUUCAUAAAUGCAAACUAAGUAUUUCAUAAAUGUAAACUAAGUAUCAUCAAUAAAUUGCUAUUGGCUCUUCAAUGAUUUCAUAAACCGGGUCAUUCUUGGAUAAUCAUCAAGAGCAUGACAAACUCUACAGGCAGCUUCAAAAUAUGGUAUGUUUUCUACCUGCUUGUGCUUGGAAAAUUUAAGUAGAGAUCCAAAGAUUACCAGGCACAAGUUAGUUUUGUUUUGACUUUCUAUUCCAAUGCACUGUUUUGUUUCUUUGCUAGGUUUCUCAAUAAGCAUCCUACAAUAGAAAGACAACAAAAACAAAAUGGAGGAAUUUGUCUUCUGUUCAAUGCU